Molecule: ribosomal RNA, 465 nt
Filed under: uncultured bacterium
Lineage: Bacteria
Description: partial 16S ribosomal RNA
Rfam family: Bacterial small subunit ribosomal RNA
Source: RNAcentral
CCUACGGGCGGCAGCAGUAGGGAAUUUUCGUCAAUGGGCGCAAGCCUGAACGAGCGAUGCCGCGUGAGUGAAGAAGGCCUUCGGGUCGUAAAGCUCUGUUGCGGGGGAAAAAAGGCAGCAUCAGGAAAUGGUUGCUGACUGAUGGUGCCCCGCCAGAAAGUCACGGCGAACUACGUGCCAGCCGCCGCGGUAAUACGUAGGUGGCGAGCGGUAUCCGGAAGGAUUGGGCGUAAAGGGUGCGGAGGCGGCCCUGCAAGUCUGGAGUGAAACGCAUGAUCUCAACUCAUGCAUGGCUUUGGAAACUGGAGGACUGGAGAGCAGGAGAGGGCGGUGGAACUCCAUGUGUAGCGGUAAAAUGCGUAGAUAUAUGGAAGAACACCAGUGGCGAAGGCGGCCGCCUGGCCUGUUGCUGACGCUGAGGCACGAAAGCGUGGGGAGCAAAUAGGAUUAGAUACCCGAGUAGUC